RNAcentral lists this ribosomal RNA (493 nucleotides) under uncultured bacterium. Its description in RNAcentral is "bacterial SSU rRNA". It matches the Rfam family "Bacterial small subunit ribosomal RNA", at positions 28 to 507 of the family's 1533-position model. The record is from RNAcentral.
GAUGAACGCUAGCUACAGGCUUAACACAUGCAAGUCGAGGGGAAACGACAUCGAAAGCUUGCUUUUGAUAGGCGUCGACCGGCGCACGGGUGAGUAACGCGUAUCCAACCUGCCCACCACUUGGGGAUAACCUUGCGAAAGUAAGACUAAUACCCGAUGAUAUCCCUAGACGACAUCUGAAAGGGAUUAAAGAUUUAUCGGUGAUGGAUGGGGAUGCGUCUGAUUAGCUUGUUGGCGGGGUAACGGCCCACCAAGGCGACGAUCAGUAGGGGUUCUGAGAGGAAGGUCCCCCCACAUUGGAACUGAGACACGGUCCAAACUCCUACGGGAGGCAGCAGUGAGGAAUAUUGGUCAAUGGGCGAGAGCCUGAACCAGCCAAGUAGCGUGCAGGACGACGGCCCUAUGGGUUGUAAACUGCUUUUAUAAGGGAAUAAAGUGAGUCUCGUGAGACUUUUUGCAUGUACCUUAUGAAUAAGGACCGGCUAAUUCCGUG